UACGGAUUAUCAUAUCAGUGGCCGGUAGCUAAUAGAUAAGAGAUAAGAGAGAGACAGGAGCGUUAGUCUCUUGUCAUCUGACGAUAUGGCGGCCUCUCCCAUCUAUUGUCUGGGUUGCGAGUUAUUCAGCCCGUAUCCUCAGACGGACUACAGCUUCUCCACUGGAGCUGAACCGGAUUGUCAAGCUCUGUGAUAACUAUCGGCAACACUAAACAUCUUCUGGUGAUGUCAGAGCUCAAGACAGUAGGAGGACCGGUGUGUGGAGCCUGCUGUUGUAUCAUCUGUGACCACUAAAUCAUGAGAGUCACUGACAACUUG
Macrosteles quadrilineatus (aster leafhopper) is the source of this 318-nucleotide long non-coding RNA. RefSeq lists it as uncharacterized. NCBI's taxonomy places the organism in Eukaryota, Metazoa, Arthropoda, Insecta, Hemiptera, Cicadellidae. The transcript is spliced from 3 exons. The record is from RefSeq and is a predicted model, not a curated record.